AACGCACAUUGCGCCCGCCAGUAUUCUGGCGGGCAUGCCUGUUCGAGCGUCAUUUCAACCAUCAAGCCCCUGCGCUUGUGUUGGAGCCCUGCGGCUGCCGCAGGCUCCCAAACCCAGUGGCGGGCUCGUCGUCGUACCGAGUGCAGUAAACUUACCACGCUCAGGGCACGCGACGGGUGACCGGCCGUAAAACCCCCCCCUUCUCAAGGUUGACCUCGGAUCAGGUAGGAAUACCCGCUGAACUUAA
RNAcentral lists this unclassified non-coding RNA (247 nucleotides) under uncultured fungus. RNAcentral's name for it is "sequence contains ITS2". The stretch from base 1 to 52 matches the Rfam family "5.8S ribosomal RNA", at positions 103 to 154 of the family's 154-position model. The record is from RNAcentral. Lineage: Eukaryota; Fungi.